AACACGUGGAUGGGGGCUCUGGAGUUUGGGCAUUCAGCAAAGGCAAAAGUGUGAAUCCAGGCUGAGUUAAGGAUGGCUUGUGUACUUGAAGGCAUGUCUGCUUAUUGCUUUCCUUUUAAUAUAUUGAUUUUUAUUUGAACCCUUUUCUCAUCCACAGCUCUAUGUGAGUUUUUGUAGCGCAAGAUGUUGCCUAGCGCUAUGAAUGUAGCCGUAUUUGCAUAAAGGAUAAAUCUGUUAAACAAGGAGGGAAUCAUUUAUUUGGAUGAAAAACACCUUUCCAAACUGUCUCAAAGGUACCGCAAUGAGGGGUUGUGACUGGCUUUCAUCCUUUAGCAGGUUGGGGAUUCUCACAGGAGUCUGCUUUUUACCUGUGCUUGAGGCUGUCCUUGGUCGAUUUUUGAAGUCUCAGGGAAGAAUAAUUGAAGAUACAGGUGAUUACAUGACUUCUUGCAAAAACAGAAUUAAAAAGAAAUUGUAUCCACAUGUCUGCUCUAUUUGGAAGUCCCCUAGGAGCAUGUGAGAAGUGGCAAGUAAGUACUGCAGCAGUAAAGUGUUACGAGAAGGGAACCGUGCAUCGUAAUUCUCAUGUGCCCCUGACAGACAAGUUUUGGAGAUCAAGAAAAUGUAAUUUUGGUCUCCGGUUGUGCAAAUUUCCAAAAUGAGACUCUAAGGAAGAGUAGGUUAUCUUGUUUGAAGAAACACCAAAAGAGUUUAACGCUCAGAGGACAAAAGCAGUGCUUACAACAAAUUCACUUCUGUGUGUUUGAGGGAAAUGUGAGACGAGUACCAGGUGGAUUUAAUUAUUUAUUUACUGUGAAUUGACUGAAGUUUAGGAUUAAAUUUUUGAAUGGUUAUGUUUUUAAUUGAAGCCCAGUAAUGUGGUUUGCUUCUGUGCCUCUGCUUGCUUUGAAAGGUAUGGAGAGAAAGCACCUUUUGUUGUUAAUCAGGCUACUUGUGGCAAAACAGAAUAAUGGUUAACUUAAAACUCAGACAAAUUUUCAAUAAUGUGUUUUCAAACAAAAAUUUCUAUCUGGGAUCAUGUUGUUUUUUUUUUUUUUUAAUUUUGAGUAAGUGUAGGAUUAGUUACUAGUUCAUAGAGGCUUCAAAGGAGGUGGUAAAACUAACAAGGCACUCUUCUUCCCCAUUUUCCUGUGGGAGUGUGACAUAGCAUGAUUGUUCUGCCGUUCAGCUUCAGAAUAGCUAAUUUAACUGGAUUUUGCUGUAUGUUUAGAAAACUAUUUUUUACAAGUGCGCAGGUGAAAGAGCACAAGAAACCGUGUACUGUACUGACAUCCAGUAAUCCAGAU
This 1307-nucleotide long non-coding RNA is filed under the name Anas platyrhynchos platyrhynchos (common mallard). RNAcentral describes it as "lncRNA (ENSAPLG00000030110.1)". The record is from RNAcentral. Lineage: Eukaryota; Metazoa; Chordata; Aves; Anseriformes; Anatidae.